This 933-nucleotide long non-coding RNA is filed under the name Brachypodium distachyon (stiff brome). RNAcentral's name for it is "long non-coding RNA (BDIS_LNC004145)". Lineage: Eukaryota; Viridiplantae; Streptophyta; Magnoliopsida; Poales; Poaceae. The record is from RNAcentral.
AAAAGAGUCUCGAUCCAUAGAGAAAAAAUCCUAUGGGUUAAAAUGCUACCAAAAUCCUAUGAAAAUCCCUCAAUCUAAGGAGACCCUUAACACUUCCCACACCACUACGGCUCUACCUGCUUCACCCAUAUCGCAGAGAGUUGUUCUAAUAUGACACAAUCAACUGCGCCACAAGGCAAAAUAAUCGACGAAAAAAAAAACAGCGUUCAGGAGAGCGUGCCAGGCGAGCACCCAGCUAUUAGUCCUGUACUAAACCCAACAAAAUUGCAGCUAAAUGCAUGCUGCGAGCACUAGAUCAGUGGCGGACCCAGGAUGAAUUUGAACGUGUGGCGUAGCUUACAGAACAAAAAAUCAUAUGCAAUACGAAAAUGCAAAAGUUCACUGGAAUAAUAGGCAUCUAGUACUUUGUGUUCGACAUGUACAGUAAAUUACAAAAAUAAAAUACUGGAGUUCAAAAUACCUCGACAAAUGAAACUAAGGUGGACGACCAUCGACUCGUCACCAAUUUAUAAUCUAUUAAUUAGAAGGGUAUAGAAUUGAUCUGCAAAACAUUAAAAUCAUAAAAAAAUAUGAAUUAGCAACUAGUAGUGUCAAAGGGUGGAUUAGCAGCCUUGCCAAAGAAGCUCUUUAUAUCUGAAUAGGCGGCAUCUUGGUCAUCUUGGUCAGGGAACUGAUCUUGGCGAAGAAAAAUCUUUAUCUGCGUCAAGACUCAGGACUGAUCUGCGCGGGCGUCCUCCUCUCCGCCCGUCCGCGUGCAGCUUGCUGCUGCUGUGCCGGGCUGCCGGCAGACUGCGGGCUGCGGCAGUCCUGCCGCCGCCCUGAUUUUCGGCCAAGAAGGAAGAUUGGAGUCAUUUCACGGCAGGGGGAGGAGACGAGGACAGAUGGGAAUCGAUCCGGAACAGGCGGCCGCUGUAUCGAUCAAUCUUCGCUAGG